Molecule: long non-coding RNA, 2462 nt
Organism: Planococcus citri (citrus mealybug)
Lineage: Eukaryota; Metazoa; Arthropoda; Insecta; Hemiptera; Pseudococcidae
Exons: 2
Source: RefSeq, a predicted model, not a curated record
AUAAGAAAAAGAAACUCAAUUUUUGUGUUAUUUCGUGAAAUUUAAAAAGAAUUGAAAAAUACCUCAUCAUUCCAAAUUUCUGGUAAUACAUAAUGGUAAUUGUUUGAUUUUUGGUUUUUGAAAUUUCAACUUUCUUGGAAAAAAUAUCAAAAUUUUGGUUUAAUUGAAGGAGAAAGUUGAAAUUCAAUGUAAACCAUUGGUUUUGACCUAGCUGUUGAGUCGAUUUCAAAUAUAGUUUCGAGCCGAUCUGGAGCAUGCGCCAAGUUUUCCCAUUUUUAUAGAAGAUGGUCAUAGAGGAAGUUAUGGUCUCGAAAGUCUCGAAGCUGAGAAACAUAUGUACAUACGAAAAUUGUGAUUGAUUGAAACGAUUAAGUAUAGGUAACGAAACACUAAUACCUACGUAUCUAUUAUGAGUCAUUUGCGUUUCCAAAUGCAUAAGUUUAGGUACCAGUGUUUUUUUUUUACAAGUUUCAGGAAAAAUUAACAAAUGAUAGUUAAAAUUUGUUGGAGGCUUCAAAUUCUAGAUUGACUCGAAAUAGAGAUAGCUUUCAAGUUUCAAUUGAUUCAAAUAACCGGAGACGACAGCGUUUUAUCGGCGAAGCCAUGGCGAAGCACCCCCUGUCCCUGAAUCCAACAAUAAUUUUCAGGAAAUUACGAUAGGUAACUUUAGCAAAUUGUGCUGUUUUGCGAAAGUUUUCAAAUUUCAAUUCUUUCGAAAAGAACGCGUUCACGUUCGCGUUCUUGCAAAAAAGAACGUGUUCCGUUUGCGUUCGCGAACUUGUCGUUCACGAAUGCGAACGCUGCUAUCAAAGUAGCUUUAGUAGCUGAGAAGGUAUUUAUAAAAAUACAUUUGGAGAUUACAUUUUUACCAUAAUUUUAAUUUUUUUUACUGAGUUAUAGUGAAUUACUUGAAUUUGUUUCCCAGGUCAUUCUAAGUCAUAACAGGAAACCUUUAAUUAUCGCUCCAGAAAACAUUAUUCAAAAACCGGGCGUCAACAAAAUUCUUGAGAAUCAGAUAUUUUUUGCUGAUGAUACGUCAGAAUUUGUUGAUGCCAUAAUUUGGUGUACAGGUGAGCGAUGUGAAUCAAUCUGAAGCGCAAUGAAGACAAUGUGCUUAAAGAGGGAGAGAAGAAUAAAAUUGCGUACGCCCAUUUGUAGUAUAAUAGCUGAAUACCAACUCAUUUUAGAAACAAAAUAAAAUCCAUCAAUUUCACAAAUUUCCCAAUUCAAGCUCGAGUUUUCUUACUUGAGAUCAAAAUCCAAUUGUCUUCCCAUGAGAAGUUCUCUCUCCCUCGAUGCUUUUAUUUUCGUUACGUGCCUAAGAAAGGUUUUUAAAAAAUAGAGAUUUGUACUUACCUAUCAAAUGAACUGGAUUAUUUUCAGGUUUUUUGUACAGUUUUCCUUUUCUGGAUUCUACAUGUGAGAUCAACAAUACAUGUAAUAUGGUAUUGAACCCUUUGUAUAAAAAUUUCAUUAACGCGAGGCAUCCAACCAUGUGUGUUAUCGGACUGCCACAAAACACCAUCGUCUUUCAGUUAUUAGAUUUACAGACUGAAGUAUUCGUCAGAAGUAUUUGUGGACUUGGUCAAUUGCCAUCAAUCGAAGAAAUGAUAUCUGAAGUCGAGAAAGAAAAGGAAGAAAAAUUGAAAGCUAACGUCGUCGAUAUUAGCCAGUAUUAUCAUUUAGCAGAUAAUAAGGAACGGCAGUAUUUCUAUGAACUUUACGAUUUAGGUAACUGCCAACCUUUUCCACCAGUCAUCUUCGAUAUACAUGAUAAAUGUCGUGAACUUUUUGAAAAAGAUUUUGAUAAUUUGAGAAAUAAUCAUUUCGAAAUAAUCGACGAUCACUCAUUUACUGUUCAACAGCGUGUAAGUGCAAGUUAGUCUGAUGUAAAAAAAUUAAAAAAAAAAACGGGUCAUUACCUACCUAAUUAUCAUUGAUUCGUAAGUUCAUCAGUCGUAAAUUUUGGGGAGUGAGGUACCUAGAAACUGUAGAUGGAUUUUGAUGAUGUGUUUUGUGAACACGGAAAUCAGACACUCUGGAAUCUUAAUAAACUUUCGCGAUAAUAAACAGAUUACGAAUCAUCAAAAUAAUAUCAACUUCAACAUUUGUGCAUACAUUUACUUCAAUUAUAUUGUGGGAUAGUCUAUGUCGUUAUCAGUUAACUUAUAUGUGAUAUUAUAUGAAAUUUUUUUUUUUAAAUUAGUGAGACUAUGCAAUUUAAACUACCUAGGUAAUAAUAAUUGAUGUUCAUUUAGAAAUUUUAUAUGAAUUACUUUACUUCAAAUUAUUGUGGAAUAAGGUAGGUAGUGAAGGCAAUUGGAGAUUUUUUUUUUUAACGAAUAACUGAAAUAACCGAGCUUAUUUUAAUCUAUUUCUUAAUUUCUAUGUUAUUAUACCUACAUAUUUUAUACUUUUAUUAUUCAAUUCUGAUAAAAUAAAUGUUUCCUUUCUGAAUGAAA